Molecule: long non-coding RNA, 291 nt
Filed under: Cricetulus griseus (Chinese hamster)
Lineage: Eukaryota; Metazoa; Chordata; Mammalia; Rodentia; Cricetidae
Description: lncRNA (ENSCGRG00000025648.1)
Source: RNAcentral
ACUAUGCCAAGGAUGGGUUGGGAACUGAGUUUCUGGUCUUAGGUACACAUGCCUGGUCCAAUGCAUUGGAGCAUCAGGAGCUCAGAGGCGGACACUGAAUCAGUACCUGAACAAUGACAUGGAAGAACCAGUGUGUCACAGAGCCCAGAGGAAAGGCCUUGGGAUAUGACUGGAGCCAACAACAAAGCACUAGAGAAGAUGAGGAAAGUCCUAGCCUGCAAAUUUCUUAUGGAUGACUUCCUGGAACCAGAAGCCAAAGGAGGGACAAGAUUGAAGCACUCUGGACACUAG